GGCCUCUCGGUUCAGUGGCAAGAGCACCUUCAUUUUGAGGGAAGGAGGGCUGGGGUUCGAUUCCUCGAGAGGCUA
Molecule: transfer RNA, 75 nt
Organism: Serendipita vermifera MAFF 305830
Lineage: Eukaryota; Fungi; Basidiomycota; Agaricomycetes; Sebacinales; Serendipitaceae
Rfam family: tRNA
About the family: Transfer RNA (tRNA) molecules are approximately 80 nucleotides in length.
Source: Rfam